This is a long non-coding RNA of Selaginella moellendorffii, 262 nucleotides long. RefSeq lists it as uncharacterized. NCBI's taxonomy places the organism in Eukaryota, Viridiplantae, Streptophyta, Lycopodiopsida, Selaginellales, Selaginellaceae. The transcript is spliced from 4 exons. The record is from RefSeq and is a predicted model, not a curated record.
GUGAUGUAUGUGAAUGUCGCGAUGUCGCCGCUGGAGGUGAUGGUGAGGAUUCCAGGCGCUUGGACAUCGAACUGGAAGAGUAUAGGCUGCUGAACGAGAACCUGUAAGGCGAAGCUUGUACACCGGAUCGUGAAAAGCAACGCAAAAGUUACAAUGGCUACAGCAGCUCCUCCAGAGGCACUAACCUGGAGUAAUUCUGGUACUUCAGAAAGCCGAACAGUUGCUGAGUCUUGUUCGAGUCUACCGUCAAGCUUCCCAGGAC